CUAUUGCUGUUUACCCAUUCUUGUCCUCCUAGAUAAGGACUACUGAGUAAGAACCUGCUUUGUCAACUCCUGCCACUCAGGUAUGCUGCAGUGAAUCUAAUGAGUCUCCUGUCCCUUUGAACCAUGGUUUCAGGAUGCCAUUCUGAGAAUUGUUUGAGACUGAGGCACAGUCAUUCCUCCAUAACUACAGGAAAUUGAUUCCAGGAUCCCAUGUAGACACAAGAAUCUGCAGAUGCUCAAGCUCCUUAUAUAAAAUGGUAUA
RNAcentral lists this long non-coding RNA (262 nucleotides) under Ictidomys tridecemlineatus (thirteen-lined ground squirrel). RNAcentral describes it as "lncRNA (ENSSTOG00000033293.1)". Lineage: Eukaryota; Metazoa; Chordata; Mammalia; Rodentia; Sciuridae. The record is from RNAcentral.